RNAcentral lists this ribosomal RNA (2901 nucleotides) under Shigella boydii 5216-82. Its description in RNAcentral is "23S ribosomal RNA". The record is from RNAcentral. Lineage: Bacteria; Pseudomonadati; Pseudomonadota; Gammaproteobacteria; Enterobacterales; Enterobacteriaceae.
AAGGUUAAGCCUCACGGUUCAUUAGUACCGGUUAGCUCAACGCAUCGCUGCGCUUACACACCCGGCCUAUCAACGUCGUCGUCUUCAACGUUCCUUCAGGACCCUUAAAUGGUCAGGGAGAACUCAUCUCGGGGCAAGUUUCGUGCUUAGAUGCUUUCAGCACUUAUCUCUUCCGCAUUUAGCUACCGGGCAGUGCCAUUGGCAUGACAACCCGAACACCAGUGAUGCGUCCACUCCGGUCCUCUCGUACUAGGAGCAGCCCCCCUCAGUUCUCCAGCGCCCACGGCAGAUAGGGACCGAACUGUCUCACGACGUUCUAAACCCAGCUCGCGUACCACUUUAAAUGGCGAACAGCCAUACCCUUGGGACCUACUUCAGCCCCAGGAUGUGAUGAGCCGACAUCGAGGUGCCAAACACCGCCGUCGAUAUGAACUCUUGGGCGGUAUCAGCCUGUUAUCCCCGGAGUACCUUUUAUCCGUUGAGCGAUGGCCCUUCCAUUCAGAACCACCGGAUCACUAUGACCUGCUUUCGCACCUGCUCGCGCCGUCACGCUCGCAGUCAAGCUGGCUUAUGCCAUUGCACUAACCUCCUGAUGUCCGACCAGGAUUAGCCAACCUUCGUGCUCCUCCGUUACUCUUUAGGAGGAGACCGCCCCAGUCAAACUACCCACCAGACACUGUCCGCAACCCGGAUUACGGGUCCACGUUAGAACAUCAAACAUUAAAGGGUGGUAUUUCAAGGCCGGCUCCAUGCAGACUGGCGUCCACACUUCAAAGCCUCCCACCUAUCCUACACAUCAAGGCUCAAUGUUCAGUGUCAAGCUAUAGUAAAGGUUCACGGGGUCUUUCCGUCUUGCCGCGGGUACACUGCAUCUUCACAGCGAGUUCAAUUUCACUGAGUCUCGGGUGGAGACAGCCUGGCCAUCAUUACGCCAUUCGUGCAGGUCGGAACUUACCCGACAAGGAAUUUCGCUACCUUAGGACCGUUAUAGUUACGGCCGCCGUUUACCGGGGCUUCGAUCAAGAGCUUCGCUUGCGCUGACCCCAUCAAUUAACCUUCCGGCACCGGGCAGGCGUCACACCGUAUACGUCCACUUUCGUGUUUGCACAGUGCUGUGUUUUUAAUAAACAGUUGCAGCCAGCUGGUAUCUUCGACUGAUUUCAGCUCCAUCCGCGAGGGACUUCACCUACAUAUCAGCGUGCCUUCUCCCGAAGUUACGGCACCAUUUUGCCUAGUUCCUUCACCCGAGUUCUCUCAAGCGCCUUGGUAUUCUCUACCUGACCACCUGUGUCGGUUUGGGGUACGAUUUGAUGUUACCUGAUGCUUAGGGGCUUUUCCUGGAAGCAGGGCAUUUGUUGCUUCAGCACCGUAGUGCCUCGUCAUCACGCCUCAGCCUUGAUUUUCCGGAUUUGCCUGGAAAAUCAGCCUACACGCUUAAACCGGGACAACCGUCGCCCGGCCAACAUAGCCUUCUCCGUCCCCCCUUCGCAGUAACACCAAGUACAGGAAUAUUAACCUGUUUCCCAUCGACUACGCCUUUCGGCCUCGCCUUAGGGGUCGACUCACCCUGCCCCGAUUAACGUUGGACAGGAACCCUUGGUCUUCCGGCGAGCGGGCUUUUCACCCGCUUUAUCGUUACUUAUGUCAGCAUUCGCACUUCUGAUACCUCCAGCAUGCCUCACAGCACACCUUCACAGGCUUACAGAACGCUCCCCUACCCAACAACGCAUAAGCGUCGCUGCCGCAGCUUCGGUGCAUGGUUUAGCCCCGUUACAUCUUCCGCGCAGGCCGACUCGACCAGUGAGCUAUUACGCUUUCUUUAAAUGAUGGCUGCUUCUAAGCCAACAUCCUGGCUGUCUGGGCCUUCCCACAUCGUUUCCCACUUAACCAUGACUUUGGGACCUUAGCUGGCGGUCUGGGUUGUUUCCCUCUUCACGACGGACGUUAGCACCCGCCGUGUGUCUCCCGUGAUAACAUUCUCCGGUAUUCGCAGUUUGCAUCGGGUUGGUAAGUCGGGAUGACCCCCUUGCCGAAACAGUGCUCUACCCCCGGAGAUGAAUUCACGAGGCGCUACCUAAAUAGCUUUCGGGGAGAACCAGCUAUCUCCCGGUUUGAUUGGCCUUUCACCCCCAGCCACAAGUCAUCCGCUAAUUUUUCAACAUUAGUCGGUUCGGUCCUCCAGUUAGUGUUACCCAACCUUCAACCUGCCCAUGGCUAGAUCACCGGGUUUCGGGUCUAUACCCUGCAACUUAACGCCCAGUUAAGACUCGGUUUCCCUUCGGCUCCCCUAUUCGGUUAACCUUGCUACAGAAUAUAAGUCGCUGACCCAUUAUACAAAAGGUACGCAGUCACCCCAUAAAGAGGCUCCCACUGCUUGUACGUACACGGUUUCAGGUUCUUUUUCACUCCCCUCGCCGGGGUUCUUUUCGCCUUUCCCUCACGGUACUGGUUCACUAUCGGUCAGUCAGGAGUAUUUAGCCUUGGAGGAUGGUCCCCCCAUAUUCAGACAGGAUACCACGUGUCCCGCCCUACUCAUCGAGCUCACAGCAUGUGCAUUUUUGUGUACGGGGCUGUCACCCUGUAUCGCGCGCCUUUCCAGACGCUUCCACUAACACACACACUGAUUCAGGCUCUGGGCUGCUCCCCGUUCGCUCGCCGCUACUGGGGGAAUCUCGGUUGAUUUCUUUUCCUCGGGGUACUUAGAUGUUUCAGUUCUCCCGGUUCGCCUCAUUAACCUAUGGAUUCAGUUAAUGAUAGUGUGUCGAAACACACUGGGUUUCCCCAUUCGGAAAUCGCCGGUUAUAACGGUUCAUAUCACCUUACCGACGCUUAUCGCAGAUUAGCACGUCCUUCAUCGCCUCUGACUGCCAGGGCAUCCACCGUGUACGCUUAGUCGCUUAA